Molecule: long non-coding RNA, 3386 nt
Organism: Aedes albopictus (Asian tiger mosquito)
Lineage: Eukaryota; Metazoa; Arthropoda; Insecta; Diptera; Culicidae
Exons: 3
Source: RefSeq, a predicted model, not a curated record
UUACGAGUUUAGGUGUCUUGUUGUGAUUAGGAUGUAUGGAUUAGUAUUGUGUGAAGGUUUUUUUGAAAAGAACGUGUCGUUUGCUUGGGGGAAGUUCAUCGAUAGCGGAAGAACUGAAUUCAUAAAUAUUGAAUGGUUUUGUUGUGUAUGGUUAUGGUGUGCCAACAGGAAGUUUUACGUUGAGGGUGGGUAAGGAUUUGCGAUAUGCAGACUCUCUCUCGCUCGUGGGAGAGGGAGAACCAACAGUCAGCUGAGGUCCUGUCAGGACGAUGUUUGUGGUUGUGAUAGCAAGUGUGGUGGCUCACGUGAGUGCGGUACUAGAUUAGGCGGUGGGAGAACUUGUUGGCGCUCUCGGGAAAUGUUCGGAAAAGCGAUUGUUCUCAAAACCAGAGGCAGAAGGAUAACUCUGUUUGGUAGCGGAACCGACUGAAAUCAGAUAGUCGUGCCGCUCGAGCCGUGCGAGUCAUACUCUAUCCUGGGCUAGUCCGUUUACGUUGUACGUGUGUUUUCCGGAAGUGAAAUCUUUGGGAUGGAAAUUGGAUCGCAAAUGCAUAACUGUUUAUGAUUAACUGGAAAAGGAUUUUCCUGUCAAAGAAGAUAAGCUUGGACUUGCAUUAAGGGGAUAUUUUUUUCCCUGAAAAUACAAUUAGUCCAUUAGCGCUCUUGGUGGCUAGAGUGGAUUAGCAGUUUUCGGAAUGAAAUUUCGCUAAAAUAGUGUCCUCUGUUUUGGAGUUGAGCUUUUUUCGGAGAUAAGUGAAAAGUAAACAGUCCAGUGGCGGAAGUAAGCAGCAAGAAGAGCAGUGCAAGAGAAUAAGGCUCCCGUGUCGCAGGGGUGUGUUUUGCUUGUAAAGUGGAAAGUGUAUUUGGAUGAAAGCCAUGUCCUGAAAAGGAAGGAGAAGGUCCUUGACGUUUCCGCGACAUCGUAAGAUGCCCGACGAAAGCGGGUGCGUAAAAGAGGUGGAAAUUAUUUUAGGAGAGUGCUUUUCAUCAAUCAUAAUGGGAUUGGAGUUUCGCAGCCUUGCAAAGGCAUAAGUGUGACGGUCCUCGUGUUGGGGUAGGUUGUAUACGUGAAACAGCCAUUCUUCAUGACUACGUAACAAGCGAAGAAAAGCAGAAAGCCGACACUAAUAAAAAGGAUAUUUUCUGCUUGUUCAUUCCGGAGAGCCUUUGGCUUCAAGUUGUUUGAUGUGAAGAAGCUACAAAGGGAGAAACGUGAUACGGUGGUUGAACCUUCGACGAUGAAAUUUGCAGUUGAUUAAAAGCAAACAUUUUGCAAAAAAGGAUAACCUUCCGCAGUGUUCUACCAAGUGAAUUUGUUAUCAUUCUUGAUUAAUUGUUAUGGUGAUGUUCUCCGGUUACACACGAUAAAAAUAAUUUGAAGAUAAAACGUGUCUCUUGGUGGUAAUAAAUUUUCAUUCCAACUAGGAGCUUUCAUGUGAUACCUGUCUCAGUGUCUAUCAAGCUUCAAAGGGCUGCCCUGUAGAACAGCAUCCAACAACGAGACGAGUGCCGGAUAACACGUUCUGAAUAAUUAAUGCCACUCGAGUGAUCCCCGCGUGUGAAUGUUGCAACGACGACGUCAAGCCAGCGGCCAUCAUCGUUGCUGACGGCGAGCUUCGAAUUAAUCAUAAAAUUAUUGGCCCUCUGCGAGUCGUUUGCGACCCUCCUGGACCUCGCCACUCUCGAACCGGGAUCUGCAACUUCAUCCGGAUAAUAUAUCCUCGUCGUCGUGCAAACAAACAUUAUUCACCUCCAUGCUCUCGUUCGGAGCCCGUUCGGAAGAAAAAAAGCCCCGUGUGUUAUCACCGUAAAUUUAUGUGAAUCAAAUAUUUGCCCAACCCCCAAAAGUCAAACCAGUGAAAACCCAAAAAAAAAACGACGACGACCCCUUCGCAGUGAUCUAUUGCAAUUGAUGCUCGUCUCUUCGGUGUGAAAAAUUAGAAUUUGAAAUUUGUGCCCCGCGACGUUGUGUAUACCCCAUAAAUUGCUAGCACGUGUGUGUGUGUGUUUGACUGCAAGGGGUAAGCUUUGACCGAGAAAAAAAAAAGUCAGACCGCGACCGGCUACCACAACGAGUGAAUUUUCACCUCACCGGAAAAAGGUUGAUUUGUUUGUUUGAAAAUACGGCGGCGCCGCUGUGUCCCCGCACCGACCUGCCGACCGACCCACCGUCGACAUUGAGUGUUUGCUGGCAAAAGCGAAGAGUGAAAAUCCAAUAAAUUUCAUUUUCGUUCCCAAUUCGGAAUACCAUCAAUCAAUAGGACGGAAUACGUUUUCCAGUUUCUUUUGGGCGAGUUUUGGCGAAAGCUUGAAGGAGCAAAUCAAAAGUUUGUCGUGAGUGCAGCACCACCACCACCGGAGGCAACAGUAGUGGCAGGAUAUAAGAGAACCGCUCCGGAACCGACCAUCACCGCCGAGUAGAGCAGAGUGCAAACUUUCCUGCUGUGCAUAUUUAUUUCCAUUUUCCCCAGCUGAGAACAACGGAAACCCCCGAAAAUUCCUGUAGAUUCUGAACCACAACAAUGACAGACAGCAGCGCCAUGUCGCAACAACAACGGGAUCGUGCUAAUUUUGAAUCAACCGGUUCGACGCUGCUGACGACGACGGUGCAACAGCUGCCGUUGCGCUCAGUGCGGUGGUGAAAGUCAUCGCAACCUGACAAGUACAGCUGAAUUACCUGUAACCGUUGAAGAAAAGCUCCGUGUCAUCGGGUGUAGUUUGUGCACUAUUGGAGGGAGUGUAUGUGUUUGUGUACCUAGUUAUAAAGUGGUAAAGCGGUGAAACCACCCAGUGUUUUUAAUAGAAACGUCGAAAACAAAGUGGGAACGAGGCCUGCGGUGCAUCCUUUUGCCGACUGCAGCAGAGCUCUGUUGCGUUCUUCACAAAAGCAACAUCAUCGGAAUACAUACCAGUCACCAUGAGGAAUCGAAUACAGCUCACCGUGGACAUUUGGGUCCUGGUCGUCUAUGUGAUAGGUAAGUUUGAAAUGUGGGCCUAUUAGAUACUAAUUUGAUAAAUAGCCUCUACCUAGAAGCUAUUGCGAUUAAUAACAGUAAUUGUUAUCCAGUAUGUUCAUGAUGUGGAUAUUAUGUUUCCUAAACAUUUUCGAGGAAGGAUUGCAUUCAACUGUUUCUCACAAAUCCAUUAUUUCCCGCUAUUCAACUCCGAUCAUUCACCAUCAACCCAAUUUUCCUCCUUAGUGAGCUAGCUAUGCAAAAACCGUUCGACGUAAUCAACUCGAAUUCCCACCACAACACCCCGACAGAGCGGUUUCCGCCAGCCAAACCGCAAGAGACGCCGGUUUUUGAAUCUAAAUUUGGCUGUCUGUCAAGGCACCAGCUUGCAGGAAAUGAACUGAAAACGGAAAACAGCACAGCAAAAAAAAA